AUUAGGUUGGUGCAAAAGUAAUUGCAGUUUUUGCCAUUGCUUUUAAUGGCAAAAACUGCAAUUACU
RNAcentral lists this microRNA precursor (66 nucleotides) under Cebus imitator (Panamanian white-faced capuchin). RNAcentral's name for it is "miRNA (ENSCCAG00000011419.1)". Lineage: Eukaryota; Metazoa; Chordata; Mammalia; Primates; Cebidae. The record is from RNAcentral.